This 191-nucleotide non-coding RNA is filed under the name Staphylococcus aureus. RNAcentral describes it as "6S RNA". It matches the Rfam family "6S / SsrS RNA". Rfam says of the family: E. coli 6S RNA was the first non coding RNA to be sequenced, but its function was unknown until recently. It consists of 184 nucleotides that fold into an extended hairpin structure with a large single-stranded internal bulge. The 6S RNA specifically associates with RNA polymerase holoenzyme containing the sigma70 specificity factor. Lineage: Bacteria; Bacillati; Bacillota; Bacilli; Caryophanales; Staphylococcaceae. The record is from RNAcentral.
AGUCAUCUGAGUUGUUCGUAAGUUUGCUUUUUAAUUUGGGCCUAACACUCUUUGAUCAAGGGAGCCCAAUGGGUUUUCUUGCAGCGUACACGCUUUAUAUGAAGGACGUACAAAACAAGAAACAGGGCACCCACCUGUAUAUAACAGGCCGAAUGAUCAAGCUAUUAUAACUACGGCAAUACGGACUCUAU